Non-coding RNA from Podarcis lilfordi (Lilford's wall lizard), 79 nucleotides. NCBI's taxonomy places the organism in Eukaryota, Metazoa, Chordata, Lepidosauria, Squamata, Lacertidae. The record is from the annotation of a GenBank genome assembly.
GGUGCCAAAUAUCUUGCUCAGUGGUUAGAACAUCUACUUUGCAUGCAGAAGGUCCCGGGUUCCAUCCCUGGCAGUUCCA